Molecule: non-coding RNA, 615 nt
Organism: Peromyscus maniculatus bairdii (prairie deer mouse)
Lineage: Eukaryota; Metazoa; Chordata; Mammalia; Rodentia; Cricetidae
Source: RefSeq, a predicted model, not a curated record
AUGGAGGCUAUCAGGAAUGUUUUGGAAGCAGUAAGGAUACCUUGGUUAAGUGAAAAUGUUUUUCUACUUCUUUUAAAUAGGAUAUUAUUAAUUUUCUUUUUGUUUUGUCUGUAAGGGCACAGACCUAAGCCCACAGACCUGAUCUCCUGCCAACUGACCUUCGUCCACAUAGUGACGGUCCUCACUGGAGGGGAUAUUUGGCUUACAUAUGUAUUUGAGUCACUGAAAUUUGAGAAUGACUUCAAAUGUAAGAUAACUUUUUACAUGAGCAGAGUGAUGAGAGGCCUCUCCAUCUGCAUCACCUGCCUCCUAAGUGUGUUCCAGGCUGUCACUAUCAGUCCCAGUACCUCUUUGUUGGCAAAAUUUAAACAUAAACGUAAAACAUACACAAUCUAUGCUUUCUUCUACCUCUGGUCUUUCAAUUUGUCAUUCAGUAGUAGGUGGAUCUUCCAUGUUGGUGCUUUUACCAAUGUGAGUAAGAACAACCAGAUGAAGGUCACUCAGUCCUGCUCACUCUUCCCCAUGAACUACAUCAUUAGUGCACUGUCUUCAACAGUGACAAUCUUCAGAGAUGUCUUUCUUGUAGGAGUUAUGCUGACCACAAGUGCAUACAUG